This 2422-nucleotide unclassified non-coding RNA is filed under the name Escherichia coli. Lineage: Bacteria; Pseudomonadati; Pseudomonadota; Gammaproteobacteria; Enterobacterales; Enterobacteriaceae. The record is from RNAcentral.
UGACGCCCGCCCCACGACCCGCAGCGCCCGACCGAAAGGAGCGCACGACCCCAUGAGCUUCGAUCCAGACAUGAUAAGAUACAUUGAUGAGUUUGGACAAACCACAACUAGAAUGCAGUGAAAAAAAUGCUUUAUUUGUGAAAUUUGUGAUGCUAUUGCUUUAUUUGUAACCAUUAUAAGCUGCAAUAAACAAGUUAACAACAACAAUUGCAUUCAUUUUAUGUUUCAGGUUCAGGGGGAGGUGUGGGAGGUUUUUUAAAGCAAGUAAAACCUCUACAAAUGUGGUAUGGCUGAUUAUGAUCCUGCCUCGCGCGUUUCGGUGAUGACGGUGAAAACCUCUGACACAUGCAGCUCCCGGAGACGGUCACAGCUUGUCUGUAAGCGGAUGCCGGGAGCAGACAAGCCCGUCAGGGCGCGUCAGCGGGUGUUGGCGGGUGUCGGGGCGCAGCCAUGACCCAGUCACGUAGCGAUAGCGGAGUGUAUACUGGCUUAACUAUGCGGCAUCAGAGCAGAUUGUACUGAGAGUGCACCAUAUGUCGGGCCGCGUUGCUGGCGUUUUUCCAUAGGCUCCGCCCCCCUGACGAGCAUCACAAAAAUCGACGCUCAAGUCAGAGGUGGCGAAACCCGACAGGACUAUAAAGAUACCAGGCGUUUCCCCCUGGAAGCUCCCUCGUGCGCUCUCCUGUUCCGACCCUGCCGCUUACCGGAUACCUGUCCGCCUUUCUCCCUUCGGGAAGCGUGGCGCUUUCUCAUAGCUCACGCUGUAGGUAUCUCAGUUCGGUGUAGGUCGUUCGCUCCAAGCUGGGCUGUGUGCACGAACCCCCCGUUCAGCCCGACCGCUGCGCCUUAUCCGGUAACUAUCGUCUUGAGUCCAACCCGGUAAGACACGACUUAUCGCCACUGGCAGCAGCCACUGGUAACAGGAUUAGCAGAGCGAGGUAUGUAGGCGGUGCUACAGAGUUCUUGAAGUGGUGGCCUAACUACGGCUACACUAGAAGGACAGUAUUUGGUAUCUGCGCUCUGCUGAAGCCAGUUACCUUCGGAAAAAGAGUUGGUAGCUCUUGAUCCGGCAAACAAACCACCGCUGGUAGCGGUGGUUUUUUUGUUUGCAAGCAGCAGAUUACGCGCAGAAAAAAAGGAUCUCAAGAAGAUCCUUUGAUCUUUUCUACGGGGUCUGACGCUCAGUGGAACGAAAACUCACGUUAAGGGAUUUUGGUCAUGAGAUUAUCAAAAAGGAUCUUCACCUAGAUCCUUUUAAAUUAAAAAUGAAGUUUUAAAUCAAUCUAAAGUAUAUAUGAGUAAACUUGGUCUGACAGUUACCAAUGCUUAAUCAGUGAGGCACCUAUCUCAGCGAUCUGUCUAUUUCGUUCAUCCAUAGUUGCCUGACUCCCCGUCGUGUAGAUAACUACGAUACGGGAGGGCUUACCAUCUGGCCCCAGUGCUGCAAUGAUACCGCGAGACCCACGCUCACCGGCUCCAGAUUUAUCAGCAAUAAACCAGCCAGCCGGAAGGGCCGAGCGCAGAAGUGGUCCUGCAACUUUAUCCGCCUCCAUCCAGUCUAUUAAUUGUUGCCGGGAAGCUAGAGUAAGUAGUUCGCCAGUUAAUAGUGCGCAACGUUGUUGCCAUUGCUACAGGCAUCGUGGUGUCACGCUCGUCGUUUGGUAUGGCUUCAUUCAGCUCCGGUUCCCAACGAUCAAGGCGAGUUACAUGAUCCCCCAUGUUGUGCAAAAAAGCGGUUAGCUCCUUCGGUCCUCCGAUCGUUGUCAGAAGUAAGUUGGCCGCAGUGUUAUCACUCAUGGUUAUGGCAGCACUGCAUAAUUCUCUUACUGUCAUGCCAUCCGUAAGAUGCUUUUCUGUGACUGGUGAGUACUCAACCAAGUCAUUCUGAGAAUAGUGUAUGCGGCGACCGAGUUGCUCUUGCCCGGCGUCAACACGGGAUAAUACCGCGCCACAUAGCAGAACUUUAAAAGUGCUCAUCAUUGGAAAACGUUCUUCGGGGCGAAAACUCUCAAGGAUCUUACCGCUGUUGAGAUCCAGUUCGAUGUAACCCACUCGUGCACCCAACUGAUCUUCAGCAUCUUUUACUUUCACCAGCGUUUCUGGGUGAGCAAAAACAGGAAGGCAAAAUGCCGCAAAAAAGGGAAUAAGGGCGACACGGAAAUGUUGAAUACUCAUACUCUUCCUUUUUCAAUAUUAUUGAAGCAUUUAUCAGGGUUAUUGUCUCAUGAGCGGAUACAUAUUUGAAUGUAUUUAGAAAAAUAAACAAAUAGGGGUUCCGCGCACAUUUCCCCGAAAAGUGCCACCUGACGUCUAAGAAACCAUUAUUAUCAUGACAUUAACCUAUAAAAAUAGGCGUAUCACGAGGCCCUUUCGUCUUCAAGAAUUGGUCGAUCGACCAAUUCUCAUGUUUGACAGCUUAUCA